Molecule: ribosomal RNA, 494 nt
Filed under: uncultured bacterium
Lineage: Bacteria
Description: partial 16S ribosomal RNA
Rfam family: Bacterial small subunit ribosomal RNA
Source: RNAcentral
GACGAACGCUGGCGGCGCGCUUAACACAUGCAAGUCGAACGGAAAGGCCUGCUUUCCCUUGUGGAUUGCGGGUACUCGAGUGGCGAACGGGUGAGUAACACGUGAGUGAUCUGCCCCCAACUUGGGUAUAAGCCUGGGAAACUGGGUCUAAUUCCCGAUAGGACUGCAGGGUGGUGCCUGUGGUGGAAAACGAUUUUCUAGUGGUUGGGGAUGAGCUCGCGGCCUAUCAGCUUGUUGGUGGGGUAAUGGCCUACCAAGGCGGCGACGGGUAGCCGGCCUGGGAGGGUGGACGGCCAAAUUGGGACUGAGAUACGGCCCAGACUCCUACGGGAGGCAGCAGUGGGGAAUAUUGGACAAUGGGCGGAAGCCUGAUGCAGCGACGCCGCGUGGGGGAUGACGGCCUUCGGGUGGUAAACUCCUUUCGACCGCGAGGAAGCCACCUGGUUGGAAGGGUGGUGACGGUAGUGGUAGAAGAAGCACCGGCUAACUACGUG